AGGAAUAUUAAUUGAAAGGAUCUUAACAUCUUUAUGAAAAGAAAUCAGAUAAAUUAACAAAAAUCCGACAUAUGAUUCUUGAACUAAAAGACUACUAAAAAAUUGUGGCAAAAUAACUCCUUAUAUGAUCAAUAUACUUGCUCAUAUCUAGAAAAUGAGACAACUAGAAAAGAUAAUAUUUAUUAAAUCUUCAAUCAAGGGACACCAUCGUUGCUUGAAUGGAUAUCAUUCUUCAUUGGCAAUCACAAUGCCUCCUAAUUCUUCUAAAUAUCACGGUUGACCAUCAGUCCUACAAAACGUUGAGUAAUUUAUCAAAGUCAGUCCAUGUAAAUAAAUUGGCACAAAGUAUGACAUAAAUAAAUGUACUGAACAAAGUUGCUUAAUUUUUAACAAAGCCGCUUAGAGAUGUAUUGAACUUUUCUUGGAGUACUAUUUUCAUUUGAUCAGAAGUUUGAAGUUUAGAAACCAAUUCAGCCUUACUUAAUGCUGGUCCCACGGAC
This 500-nucleotide long non-coding RNA is filed under the name Triticum aestivum (bread wheat). RNAcentral describes it as "long non-coding RNA (TAES_LNC002739)". Lineage: Eukaryota; Viridiplantae; Streptophyta; Magnoliopsida; Poales; Poaceae. The record is from RNAcentral.